GACGAACGCUGGCGGCGUGCCUAAUACAUGCAAGUAGAACGCACAGUUUAUACCGUAGCUUGCUACACCAUAAACUGUGAGUUGCGAACGGGUGAGUAACGCGUAGGUAACCUGCCUGGUAGCGGGGGAUAACUAUUGGAAACGAUAGCUAAUACCGCAUAAUAUUGAUUAUUGCAUGAUAAUUGAUUGAAAGAUGCUAUUGCAUCACUACCAGAUGGACCUGCGUUGUAUUAGCUAGUAGGUGAGGUAACGGCUCACCUAGGCGACGAGACAUAGCCGACCUGAGAGGGGGAGCGGCCACACUGGGACGGAGACACGGCCCAGAAUACUACGGGAGGCAGCAGGAGGGAAUCUUCGGCAAUGGACGAAAGUCUGAACGAGCAACGCCGCGUGAGUGAAGAAGGUUGUCGGAUCGUAAAGCUCUGUUGUAAGAGAAGAACGGGUGUGAGAGUGGAAAGUUCACACUGUGACGGUAUCUUAACAGAAAGGGACGGCUAACUACGUG
Molecule: ribosomal RNA, 505 nt
Filed under: uncultured bacterium
Lineage: Bacteria
Description: partial 16S ribosomal RNA
Rfam family: Bacterial small subunit ribosomal RNA
Source: RNAcentral